RNAcentral lists this small nucleolar RNA (138 nucleotides) under Ornithorhynchus anatinus (platypus). The record is from RNAcentral. Lineage: Eukaryota; Metazoa; Chordata; Mammalia; Monotremata; Ornithorhynchidae.
CCCCUCUCAGGGUCAUAUCUGGAGAGUUUCCACUACUCUACCAUUCUUGACUACAGGAGAAAGAGUCAGGCAGAGGCAUAUCUAUUCCAUUCCUAGCUUGGGCAAUGGCUAGGGAGUGGAAAACAAUCUGCUACAAGU